GGGCCUGGGUGCAGAGGGUGUAACCCAUGUCACCUGUCGUAGACCGGCCCCGACAAAAAUACCUCUUGCCAGGGUAGGGGCGUGAGAUCGUAGAAAUAGAAGUGAAAUGAAAAAUAAUUAGACUGAGACCAUAAAAAGUACCGGGAGGGCAUUCCAGUGGAUACUGAUAUUUUUCCCUGUUUAGUUUUCCUUAUCCGUUUAUAACCAAAUACAAAAGGAGAAGAAGGCAACCAAAGACGUCUUUAACUUGAUACAAAGUCCAGGUAAAACAGUUAAUGACUUUUAACACUUUGAGGUGUCAAGUCAUCGGCAUCUGGUGGUUUAGGUCGCGAAGCCACUCUAGACCGAGUAUCCUGAAAGCAGCCGCAGUCCCUUCCUAGGUGACCUUAUAUUACAAAAGGAAGAGCAGACGUGUGUUUGCCUGGCCUAGCUACCCGUCAGGAUGACAACAGGCUCACCGUUUUGGGCAUCCGCAGCCCCUCACCUCCUAACUUUCCCUGCAGUUUAGGCACCGGCAUGGGAGCCUGGUCAUGGAGAGUGUGGUGCCUUCUGAUAGCGGCCACUACACCUGCGUGGUUCAGAACACGUUGGGCAGCAUCCGGCAGACUUACACCCUGGAUGUCCUGGAGCGCUUCCCACAUCGGCCCGUUUUGCAGGCUGGGCUGCCGGAAAACCAGACGGCCACCCUAGGAAGCGACGUGGAGUUCCACUGCAAGGUCUACAGCGAUGCCCAGCCGCACAUCCAGUGGCUGAAGCACGUGGAGGUGAAUGGCAGCAAGACAGGCCCGGAUGGCAGGCCCUACGUCACCGUCCUCAAGACAUCAGGCAUUAACACAAGCAACAAGGAGCUAGAAGUUCUGUCUCUGCGCAAUGUCACCUUUGAGGACUCGGGGGAGUACACCUGUCUGGCAGGCAAUUAUUUUGGAUUUUCCCAUCACUCUGCAUGGCUGGAGGUGCUGCCAGCUGAGAGAGAGCUGGCCGAGGGCAGUGCAGCUGGCAAGUGGUCUGCAGGCCGCAUCAGCUCCUGGGUGGGCUUCUCCAUCUUCAUCUUGACGGCAUCGGUUGGGACGCUCUGCUACCUGCGUGGAGUCUCAGGAAAGAACCUGGGGUCUCCCGGUGUGGACAAUGACAUUCGCUUCCCACCCGAGCAAGAGGUGACCUCCGUGAACUCUGGUCUACCCUGGGUCCGCAUCGUCCACCCAAUUUCAAGAGACUCUACCGUCAUGGCCAGUGUUUCUGAGCCUCCGCCGCCAGCCGACCCCAAGUGGGAAAUAUCGAGAACUCGGCUGACACUCGGUCAUUCUCUAGGAGAAGGCUGCUUUGGCCAGGUUUUUAAGGCAGAGGCUGUUGGCCUUCACCUGGACAACACUGCCGAGCCCGUCACCGUGGCUGUGAAAAUGCUGAAAGAUGAUGCCAACGGCCAGGACUUGUCGGACCUGGUGUCUGAGAUGGAGAUGAAAGUUAUUGGCCGGCACGAGAACAUUAUCAACCUGCUGGGGGCCUGCACACAGGGCGGGCCAUUGUAUGUGCUGAUGGAGUACGCAGCCAAGGGCAACCUCCGGGACUUCCUGCGGGCACAAAGGCCGCUCAGCGCGGAAUGCUAUGGUGCCUCCAGGCUGCCAGAAGAACAGCUCACCCGCAAAGAUCUCGUGUCCUGUGCCUGUCAGGUGGCCCGAGGUAUGGAGCACCUGGCUUCUCGGAAGUGCGUUCACAGAGACUUGGCUGCCAGAAACGUGUUGGUGACUGAGGACAGCGUGAUGAAGGUUGCAGAUUUUGGCCUGGCCCGUGAUGUGCACCGUCUGGGAUACUACAAGAAGAUCACGCACGGCCGGCUCCCUGUGAAGUGGAUGGCACCAGAGUCCCUGUUGGACGGAGUCUACACCCACCAGAGUGAUGUGUGGUCCUUUGGAGUCCUGCUCUGGGAGAUCUUUACCCUGGGGGGCUCCCCAUACCCUGGCAUCCCAGCGGAAGAGCUUUUCAAGCUGUUGAAAGCCGGCUACCGCAUGCACAAGCCUGCCGACUGCCUACACGACUUGUGAGCAAAGCGUUCCUUACUCACUCCUCUGACUAGUCCCUGGGAGUGGCUGGUUUCCUACCGGGGCUCCUGGCGGGAGGCUGGCAGCCUUGGGUGAGGCAGGGAUGGACAACGGGCCGAGAAACCACAGCCAGGUUUGCCACAGGUAUGUGGUCAUGCGGGACUGUUGGCGUGCGGUGCCUUCCCGGAGGCCCACCUUCAAGCUCCUGGUAGAGGGAUUCGAUGGCAUCCUCACGCACGUCAGCCCACGUACGCCUGGACCUACCGAUGCCUUUUGAGCAGAGCUUGCCAGGUGAUGGGGAUACCGGGAGCCCCAGUUCCUUAGAGACGACUGUUCACCCACGCCCUGCUGCGCCCAACCCGACCCGAGCAUCGGAGGCCUCAGACGUGAGGGGCCCAGGAUCCCA
This is an RNA transcript of Arvicola amphibius (Eurasian water vole), 2442 nucleotides long. It is a transcript of the gene named fibroblast growth factor receptor 3-like, with no coding region annotated. The record is from RefSeq and is a predicted model, not a curated record. The transcript has 12 exons. NCBI's taxonomy places the organism in Eukaryota, Metazoa, Chordata, Mammalia, Rodentia, Cricetidae.